GCCAGGGUGGCGAAACUGGUAGACGCGCCAGAUUUAGGAUCUGGUUCCCUUUGGGAGUGCAAGUUCGAUUCUUGUCCCUGGUA
This 83-nucleotide transfer RNA is filed under the name Verrucomicrobiota bacterium. RNAcentral's name for it is "Verrucomicrobia bacterium (hydrothermal vent metagenome) tRNA-Leu". It matches the Rfam family "tRNA". Rfam says of the family: Transfer RNA (tRNA) molecules are approximately 80 nucleotides in length. The record is from RNAcentral. RNAcentral also lists the same sequence under 1 other name. Lineage: Bacteria; Pseudomonadati; Verrucomicrobiota.